This is a long non-coding RNA of Eriocheir sinensis (Chinese mitten crab), 2786 nucleotides long. RefSeq lists it as uncharacterized. Lineage: Eukaryota; Metazoa; Arthropoda; Malacostraca; Decapoda; Varunidae. The record is from RefSeq and is a predicted model, not a curated record. The transcript is spliced from 3 exons.
AGACAGAAAGAGAGGAUUUAGGAAACAUGAGAGGAAACUAAAAAAAUUGAAAAUGGCUUAGCAAACGGAAAGGAUUAUUAGGGAAGGCAAGGAGAGGCGAGGAGGAAAGUCAACAAGAAAGGAGAGAGAAAAAAUUUAGAAAGCGUGAGAAGAAACUGAAGGGAUUGGAAACGGCCAAGCAAACAACAAAUAUUAAAAAGACAUGAUUGGCUGUGAAAAACACUUAACUAGAAGCAUGUCCGGAAACUAAGAGGACAGAAAAAUGAGUCGAGAGCUGAAAGAAGAAAUAAAAAAGGGUGAGAAUAAAAGAAUAAGAAAUUAAAAGGAUUGGAAGCGGCUCAUGAAACAAAAGAGAAACGUGAAUCAAGACAAAGGAGUCGAGAGUUGAAAGGAGAAAUAAAAAAGGGAGGGAAUAAAAGAAUAAGAAAUUAAAAGGAUUGGAAGCGGCUCAGGAAACAAAAGAGAAACGUGAACCAAGACAGGGUUGGGAUCGAAAACCAUUCAACUCCAAGCAAGACGUCAAAUUAAAGCAUUGAGAUAAAAAAGGAAGUCGGGAAACGUGAAAAGAAAGUAAACAGACUGUCAACGGCUUAGCAAAAGGAGCAUGAAAGAAGAAAUUAGAAGAAGAACGAAAAAAAAAGCAUAAGGGAAAACUUGAUUGGGGUUAGAAAAGAACAAAAGCCAAACAAGACUAAACUAAAGCAUUGAAUCCCUUUGUGGUGGUGGUGGUAGUGGAGGUGUGUGCGUCUGAUAACCCCCUCCCCCCCCACCCCCACCCCCACCCGCUGGCCAUAACUCUCCGCCUCCUCGCCAUAAGUCUGCCCGUGGUGUUAAAGAAGGCUUUGGUCCACUGACGCCGAACAACCAUUUAAGGGUCCUCGUAAGCCCCUUCCAAGUCUUAUCUAAGCCCCCUGUGUGGUGAUGAGGGCACAAAUGAAAAGAAAACGGGUACGAGGCGAGUCUGAGGUUGGUUGGGUGUAGGUUUUGCAGCACAAUCUCUUCUGCGUCGGGUUAGAUAAAUGGACGAUAUAUUAUAACGUACUUAGAGUUUAAUUGUUGCUUGACUGAUAUGUCUUCUCACACCGAUUGAUAGAUGAAUAGAUCGAUAAAAAUAGGUGGAAAGAGAAAUAGGUUGAUUGACUGAAUGAAUGAUAGAUGACAGAGUAAAUGGAAAGAUAGAUUGAUUGACAGAUAGAUAGGUAGAUUGAUUGAUUGAUAGAUAGGUCUUUUCACACCGAUUGAUAGAUGAACAGAUCGAUAAAAAUAGGUGGAAAGAGAAAUAGGUUGAUUGACUGAAUGAAUGAUAGAUGGCAGAGUAAAUGGAAAGAUAGAAUGACUGACAGAACGGGAGAUAGAUAGGUAGAUUGAUUGACUGAACGGUAGAUAGAUAGGUAGACUGAUUGACAGAACGGUAGAUAGAUAGGUAGACUGAUUGACAGAACGGUAGAUAGAUAGGUAGACUGAUUGACAGAACGGUAGAUAGAUAGGUAGACUGAUUGACAGAACGGUAGAUAGAUAGGUAGACUGAUUGACAGAACGGUAGAUAGAUAGGUAGAUUGAUUGACAGAACGGUAGAUAGAUAAAUUGAUUGAUUGAUAGAUAGUUGAAGCUAAGAUUUUUGGGGGCAGUAUAGAGUUGGGCAAUAUCCGGAUAUCUCUUUUAUUAUAGUAUAAGUUUUGCGUCCAUAUUCCAAGCUCUGCCUCACGAAAAGACGUCAGUGACCACCAACAAAAAAAACAAGGUCAAAUUAUAAACAUUUUCACGAAUUCGAAAUGCCUCACUUCCAAUUAACGUUUUUCUUGACCAAACUGCGUCGCUAAAUUACCAAAAGAGGAAAUUCGUUAGAUUCUGGCAGCCUUUAAUCCGUGCAAAUUAUCCAGUGAAAACUCUUAGGAUAACUGAUAUUGCUGGAACAGAUGUCAAAGGGAAUGUCCGAGGGAGGAAAAGCUUGUAUUAUGGGCUGAGUCACUAACAUCCUAUUGUUUUUUAUUACUGCUUUCAGAAUUGUUUUACGGCAAUGAUUCACUGGUUAAGGUUAAGCUCCAUUAUGGCGGUAAUUCGUACGUGUUAACAUAUGUUUGAAGUUAAGGAAAUGGCCGAGGUAGGGACAGCUUUCAUUAUAUAAGGUCUAAGUUAUCAACAUCUGGUACUCUUACUUACUUGUUAUUUUUCUACUUAAUGGCAAGGAUUCACAGGUUUAAGGCCAAGCUCCAUUGUGGCGGUUACUCGUACGUGUUAACAUAUAUUUAAUGUCAAGGGAAUGGCCGAGGCAGGAAUAGCUUGUAUUAUUAUGGGCUUAGUCAUACUCUACUACAUUCACUACUGCUAUUUUCUACUUUAUGGCAAUGAUUCACAGGUUUAAGGCUAAGCUCCAUUGUGGCGGUUACUCGUAUGUGUUAACAUUAUAUUUUAUGUCAAGGGAAUGGCUGAGUCAGGAAGAGCUUGUAUUAUUAAGGGCUAAGUCAUACUCUACUACAUUCACUACUGCUAUUUUCUAUCUAAUAACAAUGAUUCACAGGUUUAAGGCCAAGCUCCAUUGUGGCGGUUACUCGUACGUGUUAACAUAUAUUUGAUGUCAAGGGAAUGGCUGAGUCAGGAAGAGCUUGUAUUAUUAUGGGCUAAAUCAUCCUCUGGUGCUGUUAUUCACUACUGCUAUUUUCUACUUAAUGGCAAUGAUUCACAGGUUUAAGGCGGUAACUAAUAUAACCUGUUAACAUAUACUCAUCCAUCACCUGGUAUGAAGCAGCCUUACGGGUAUCCUUCCCCCUAACACCUUAAUGUUGUAA